GCUUGGGUGCCCGAGUGGUCUAAGGGGGUGGACUUAAGAUCCUCUGUUGUAAAAACGCGCAGGUUCGAACCCUGCCCCAAGCA
RNAcentral lists this transfer RNA (83 nucleotides) under Megaviridae environmental sample. RNAcentral's name for it is "tRNA-Leu". It matches the Rfam family "tRNA". From Rfam's summary of the family: Transfer RNA (tRNA) molecules are approximately 80 nucleotides in length. Their secondary structure includes four short double-helical elements and three loops (D, anti-codon, and T loops). Lineage: Varidnaviria; Bamfordvirae; Nucleocytoviricota; Megaviricetes; Imitervirales; Mimiviridae. The record is from RNAcentral.